AUUGAACGCUGGCGGCAGGCCUAACACAUGCAAGUCGAACGAGUGGCGGACGGGUGAGUAAUGUCUGGGAAACUGCCCGAUGGAGGGGGAUAACUACUGGAAACGGUAGCUAAUACCGCAUACCAUCGGAUGUGCCCAGAUGGGAUUAGCUUGUAGGUGGGGGAAAGGCUCACCUAGGCGACGAUCCCUCGCUGGUCUGAGAGGAUGACCAGCAACACGGGAACUGAGACACGGUCCAGACUCCUACGGGAGGCAGCAGUGGGGAAUAUUGCACAAUGGGCGCAAGCCUGAUGCAGCCAUGGCGGGUGUAUGAAGAAGGCCUUCGGGUUGUAAAGUACUUUCAGCGGGGAGGCGUUACCCGCAGAAGAAGCACCGGCUAACUCCGUGCCAGCAGCCGCGGUAAUAC
RNAcentral lists this ribosomal RNA (406 nucleotides) under uncultured bacterium. RNAcentral describes it as "partial 16S ribosomal RNA". It matches the Rfam family "Bacterial small subunit ribosomal RNA", at positions 30 to 526 of the family's 1533-position model. The record is from RNAcentral.